Molecule: long non-coding RNA, 235 nt
Organism: Sceloporus undulatus (fence lizard)
Lineage: Eukaryota; Metazoa; Chordata; Lepidosauria; Squamata; Phrynosomatidae
Exons: 3
Source: RefSeq, a predicted model, not a curated record
CCCAGUCUUGCCAACACAAAGGUUGCUGGGGUGAGGCAGGCCUCCACAAUUGCAGGACUAGGGUGCCUUCUGCCCCAGCAACAACACCAGCCCGGGUUGUUGUGUGUACAACAGAAAAAUUAAAGUCAUGUAUGGAACCUUGAACUCAUUGAAGGAAAGGCAGGAUAUACAUCUCGCUCACUCUCCUCCAUGAUUGAAGAGCCCAUAUUACUGAGUCUCUCAUCUUGAAAUCUUU